AACGAACGCUGGCGGCAGGCCUAACACAUGCAAGUCGAGCGAGGACUUCGGUUCUAGCGGCGGACGGGUGCGUAACGCGUGGGAAUGUGCCCUUCUCUACGGAAUAGCCCUGGGAAACUGGGAGUAAUACCGUAUACGCCCUUUUGGGGAAAGAUUUAUCGGAGAAGGAUCAGCCCGCGUUGGAUUAGGUAGUUGGUGGGGUAAUGGCCUACCAAGCCGACGAUCCAUAGCUGGUUUGAGAGGAUGAUCAGCCACACUGGGACUGAGACACGGCCCAGACUCCUACGGGAGGCAGCAGUGGGGAAUCUUAGACAAUGGGGGCAACCCUGAUCUAGCCAUGCCGCGUGAGUGAUGAAGGCCUUAGGGUUGUAAAGCUCUUUCAGCUGGGAAGAUAAUGACGGUACCAGCAGAAGAAGCCCCGGCUAACUCCGUG
RNAcentral lists this ribosomal RNA (433 nucleotides) under uncultured bacterium. RNAcentral's name for it is "partial 16S ribosomal RNA". It matches the Rfam family "Bacterial small subunit ribosomal RNA", at positions 29 to 507 of the family's 1533-position model. The record is from RNAcentral.